CGCGUAGGUGGUUCGUUAAGUUGGAUGUGAAAUCCCCGAGCUCAACUUGGGAACUGCGUUUGAAACUGCAAGACUAGAAUAUGUCAGAGGGGGGUAGAAUUCCACGUGUAGCAGUGAAAUGCGUAGAGAUGUGGAGGAAUACCAAUGGCGAAGGCAGCCCCCUGGGAUAAUAUUGACGCUCAUGCACGAAAGCGUGGGGAGCAAACAGGAUUAGAUACCCGAGUA
RNAcentral lists this ribosomal RNA (225 nucleotides) under uncultured Methylophilus sp. Its description in RNAcentral is "partial 16S ribosomal RNA". It matches the Rfam family "Bacterial small subunit ribosomal RNA", at positions 568 to 792 of the family's 1533-position model. The record is from RNAcentral. Lineage: Bacteria; Pseudomonadati; Pseudomonadota; Betaproteobacteria; Nitrosomonadales; Methylophilaceae.